GGGAGGCGGUGAGGAGGGGAGGGGGAGGCGGUGAGCCUCUUGUGUUACCACACGCUCUCCAGAGGUGCGACCGCCAGAAACGCCAAACUGCCCCAAACCAGGCGGGAGAACCCCCUUUCCUAGUUUGGGAAACAGGUGACAGAAGAACACGUUAAAUGACACCAGAAGGACCCAAGCGAGCAGAUCCAACCGGUCGGGUCACUUUAAACCGUCGACCCUAUGGGCGGCUGGGGGUGGAGGGGCCCAGCAGACACGGGCGGGGGUGCUCCACCCUCGCUCGGACCCUGGCUCGAGGGACCCGCUGUCAGACCACGUGGGGCAACCGGGGAGGCACAGAGCGCGGGAGAGAGGCGGGGUGGCCGCGUACGCUAGGAGGGGGCCGGAGGUGGACGCGCCAGUGUCCCGGGGGCUGAGUCGGGGGCCUGCGUUCUACUCAGACGCGUGGACGCUUCUAGACGAAGCCCAUCCGAGGUCUUCACAUCUGUUGAAUCCAGGUGGUGGUUCCUCGAGGGCUCGUCAGCCUGCCUCCUUUUCGUUAUAAAGACUUUAGGACCCAGGAGGAGAAUAAACACCCUUGAGUCCCUCGGUUGGGGGUGCAGACCGCCCUGGGCAGACACCCCGAGAGCCGGAGCAGGUGGCAGAGAGUCGUCCCGCCCACCCUUCCCUACCUUGUGAGAUUCAAUCUGAGACAAUAGGACCUACUCGAAAUGGUGAAUGACUUCCGCUUAUGGUGAGAUGGUGUGAACGGGGUGGCCCCGAUGCGAUGCGUGCAGAGUCCUUCCAGGUUCCGUGGGGGACCUUCCCAGCAGGAGUCAGGAGCCAGUGACCCCUGGGGGCACUGUCAGGUGGCUACGGCCCCCUUCCCCCCACCUGGAAGGCAGUCGGCCCUCGGGAAUAGGCCCCCAGCCCCUCGGCCAGGUGAACUCACCCCUGCUUCUCGGCAGCCCCGUCCUCUGCUGAGACCUUCGUCCCACACACGCACGCCCUUCGCUGGGCCGGAGUCCGUGCCCCAGAAGAGGCCCUACCAGCGGUGGGGGUGGAGGGCUCAGCGGACCUAACUUGAACCGGCCGCCGUCCCUGACCCGGCCACCAAGGCACAGAGCUGAUGGUGGUGCAGGUUGGAGCUGUGUCAGACCUGAACCCAUCAGCGGGGCCUCAGGGGAGCCCCAGAAGACACGGACCCGUCCGCGGAGGCCCGGCCCGGACCCCGCCAUCCCCGGCACACCCGGCCUGAUGGGGGCUGUGGCCCUGCUGAGGCCCGACCUCCCAGGCCACCCUGAGCCGCGGCCCCACCCGCCGGGGGCGGCGACCCGGGAGGCGCGUGGUGCUCGUGGGCAGUGGCCAGGCCCCAGGGGGGUGUUUCCGGGAGGCUGAGGUGCGCCCUGCGCCCAGACCUGUGCGGACUCCAGGCCCAGCGUUCUAGAUACUCGGCAGCCACUCACGCCGAAUCGCUGUUCGGGCCGGGUCUGAGCGGACCCCUGCCCGGAGCCACGAGAGCCUGCAGGGUGGCAGGCUGAGCCCCGAGAGUCCCUUAGAGAAAGGGCGGCCUGCGGGGCACCCCCCACAGGGACCCUCCCGGCCCCGAACACGCCUGGGGGUGUGGCUGCCUUAGAUCCGCCCCCACGUACUGUCCCUGCUGCAGGGCUGGGCACGGCCACCCGAGAAGUGCGGGGGGCCCAUCCCUGCGCCCCCUGGACUGACAGAGUCAGGACCGGGUCAGGCCUUGGCAGUGGGGGAAGGCAGCGGACCACCUGCCUCCCCCUAGCGUUUCCCAGGGAAAGUGGGGUGGGGGUUUGGAUUGCGGGUGCCUCAGCCUGGGGUCCUGUAAGCCGGAUGGGGGACCGGCAGCUGGGCCCGCCAGGGCGGGGCAGCGCCUCGGUGCAGGACGCUGUGUCCCAGGGAACCCGUGUGGCCCCUCACAGAGAAUCCCACCGGCGAAGUCCGCUGCGCCCAGCCGGGGUGAACUCUGGGGCCAGACUCAGAGCCGAGGACAGGGCGCGCAGGCCCCUUCCCUCCAGUGGGAGCCCCGCCCCGGGCAAGGGAAGUGAGGAGGGAGGUCACCCCGUGAACCACCGCCAGGGGAGGGCGCACCGGGGGCCAGGGCAGGAGCCGUGUGUCUGGGGCGGCCGCGCACCAGCGGUCGCUCCAGCUGCUCCCGCGUGUGGGCCGAGCCAGCUGGGAAGGUCCUGAGCGAAUGCGGAGCGUGUGGCCUGUGUCUGAGGUUGUCACCACCACGAGCCACAAGGAGAAGUAGGUCUGGGCUGCUUCCCUGCAUCUGCCUCCAGGAGAGUUCAAGGCGCCAGGCGGAUGACGGACGCCCCAACCCCGCCGGCCAUCCUGGGCCCGCCCGUUUGCGGUUAGGAGAGUUUGAGAGAGAUCUCUGGACCCCUGCUACUUCCUGAAAGUUCACAGCUGAGCAUGAGGUCUGCCUCCCUGAGUCACUUUGAGCUCUUGGAGCAAACUGCUCAGUAGGAUCAAGAAGACACAUGACAUGUACUAGAAACCGGAGUGCGUGUUAGAGCCUCUCUGAGAUCGGAGCAACUCAAGUAUGCCAGGUCCGAAGGCAGGACAGCCAGACCGACGGGUGACUGCUCCCCGCUUCGGAGGCCAGAGGACAGAGCACAGGGCGUCCACGUGCCAAAGACGCGGGGGACCCCUGGGUGAAGAGGGCGUCUCAGGCGGACCCGCGGGGGCCCCUACCAGCAAGGUCCUGUCCUCGGCAGAGGACGUCCUGAGGCAGGACGAGGGGUCUCAGGAGGGCGGCCCAGAGGAGGCAGGUGGGCCAGCAGGAGCCCGGCCGCCACGUGGCUCGUCGCACAGGGCGGACGACAAGGCCAACGUGCGAAGCUAGAAACGCGCGAGUCCCCACACGACUGGAACCCUGGGGGGAGCGGUGCGUCGGCCAGUCGGGCCCAGAGAGAUAGCGCUCGGGGCUCCCGGGCCACACGCUCAGGAGGGUGCAGACUCUGACGAGCUCCGGACACACAGAGGCACACAUUUCGUUUCCAGGGUAGUCUCUGAAAACCUAAAAAUAGACUUGAUAAUAACUUCCAAAUGAGUAGAGGCGGGAAACAGAAUUUAAGAAGUAAACAAAUCCAGAAGAUGUGUUUGCUCGCUUGGCGGGAAGGGAGAGUCUGUCCUAGCCGCUCUCCUUGGCUGGUGGAGGGCUGCCGUCUCCCUGUGUCCCCACACCGUCUUCCCCACCCGCGUCCCUGUGUGCGAAUGUGCCCACGUAAUAAGAACACGGUCCCAAGGGAUUAGGGCCCACCCAAAUGGCCUCAUCUGAACCCGGCCGCCUCUGCAAAGACCGGCCCCAAAUGAGGUCAUGUUCUAAGGUGCUGGGGUCAGGGGUCCCCCACGUCUUUUGGGGGGGGCACAGUUCAACCCAUAACAAAAGACAAAAGGGGAAUAAAAGCAAACAGAAAAGCAGACAAAGGAGCACAAAGUAAGGUGGAGAAAAGCAACAAAACCAUAUCAGUGAUGUCAAGAGUAUAAACGGAUUGCAAUCGGUAACUGAGAGGCAGCGAGCGUCAGAUUUCUAACUCCAGUCGGAAGCGUCACAUCCAAACCACAAGGAUGCAGACAGGCUGGAAGUAGAAGGUGGGGAAAAAAAUACCAAUGACUAGUCAUCGAGAGAGAGCUGCUCUUUUUAUAUUAAGUACUAAACAAAGACUUAGUAUUAAAAGCAUUAUUAGAAAUUACACUGCCUUCCUGUGAUUGUGUUACAAAUGACUACAAACAUAGAGGCUUAUAAAUGCCCAUCUUCAUUGUUCGGGGGAUGAGAGGUGAGAAAUGGGCUAAAAUCAGGGUGUCACAGCCACGCUCCUCCUGGAGACUCAGGGAGAAGCCGUUUCCCUGCGUGUCCGGCUCCCAGAAGCUGCCCGCAUCCCUGGGCUGGCAGCCCCUUCCUCCCUCUUCAGAAGGGCCAGUGGCCCCCACGUCCCCACAUUCCGGGACCCUGGACAGCACCGAGCCUGCCCCGGCAAUCUACGGCAGCCUCCCUCUUUUCCUAGUGCCAGGCAAUUCACAAACCCAAUUCCAUUUGCAACUCCUUUUGCCACGGAACCAGAGUUGCGCAUGAGCCAAUCAAGCUGCUAGACUCACAGGUUCUGGGAUCAGGACGUGCACGUCUUUGGGGGGUGGGGGCGUUAUUCCGCCUACCCCAGAGAUAAAGAGACCAUGACAUAAUAGUACAGAGGUCGAUUCAUCAGGAAAUCAGAACCGUUUUUAACUCACACGCACCAAUUAACAACGGCUUAAAACACAUAAAGCAAACCUUGAGAGAACUACAAGAAGUACACAAAUCCCCCAUCACGACAGGGGGGGGUUAAUCAUUUUUCUCCAUAACUGACAGUUGAAGCAGGCAAGAUGGUGCUGCGCACGAGCCGGGGUCAGGGGUGGGGGUCAAAGCAUGAAAGCUGCUAGAGAAGGGCGGUGGGGGGGGCACCCCGACUCUAUUGAAAAUGUGCACAGAAGAACGGUCACUCAACAAUUAAAGAAUACACUCUGGGGGUGCCUAGGUGGCUCAGUUGGUUAAGCGCCCGACUUUGCUCAGGUCAUGAUCUAGCAGUUCGUGAGUUCAAGUCCGGCGUCGGGCUGUGCUGACGGCUCGGAGCCUGGAGCUGCUUUGGAUUCUGUGUCUCCCUCUCUCUCUGCCCCUGCCCUGCUCACAUUCUGUCUCUCUCUGUCUCAAAAAUAA
Molecule: RNA transcript, 4699 nt
Organism: Acinonyx jubatus (cheetah)
Lineage: Eukaryota; Metazoa; Chordata; Mammalia; Carnivora; Felidae
Gene: GPR132
Gene name: G protein-coupled receptor 132
Exons: 3
Source: RefSeq, a predicted model, not a curated record